Molecule: long non-coding RNA, 138 nt
Organism: Dendrobium catenatum
Lineage: Eukaryota; Viridiplantae; Streptophyta; Magnoliopsida; Asparagales; Orchidaceae
Exons: 3
Source: RefSeq, a predicted model, not a curated record
GUCAACUGAUUUCUUGGGUGACAGCAGGUCUAGCAUCUUUGAUGCCAAGGCUGGAAUUGCUUUGAAUGAUAAUUUUGUGAAGAUUGUGGCUUGGUAUGACAACGAAUGGGGCUACAGCAACCGGGUUGUUGAUCUUAU